UCUGUCUCACAGCUGGCCAAGGCUUACGGGAUGGAUUUCUUUGAGACAAGUGCCUUCACCAACCAAAAUAUAUCCGAGACUUUCACACGAUUGGCUGAACAGGUGCUGGCAGCUAAUAAAAAGGACCUGGAUCUUCUCCGGAUGUCUGUCAAUGACGAGAUUAAUCUUGCCGCUCUGGAGGAAGAGGAAGGACUCUGUGACAGCGAGGCGGCCGACCGAGGAAAAGGCUGCUGGUGUUAGAGAGACAAUUCAGAUCUGAUCGUCUGUUACCACUGGACACUUCGCACACUAGGCAAAACGUUUCUUUUUGUCGUUAGUUGAAAUAAAGUGAAGCAAUUUUUA
Non-coding RNA from Gasterosteus aculeatus aculeatus (three-spined stickleback), 342 nucleotides. The record is from RefSeq and is a predicted model, not a curated record. NCBI's taxonomy places the organism in Eukaryota, Metazoa, Chordata, Actinopteri, Perciformes, Gasterosteidae.